AGGGUUCGAUUCUGGCUCAGGACGAACGCUGGCGGCGUGCUUAACACAUGCAAGUCGAACGGACGGACUUUGAAGAAAUCUUCGGAUGGACUUAAAGCGAGUUAGUGGCGGACGGGUGAGUAACGCGUGGGUAACCUGCCCUUUUCAUGGGGACAACAGCUGGAAACGGCUGCUAAUACCGAGUAAGCUCCAAUGACCGCAUGGUAAUUGGAGGAAAGAUGGCCUCUGCACAUGCUAUCGGGAAAGGAUGGACCCGCGUCUGAUUAGAUAGUUGGUGAGGUAACGGCUCACCAAGUCGACGAUCAGUAGCCGGCCUGAGAGGGUGGCCGGCCACAUUGGGACUGAGACACGGCCCAG
RNAcentral lists this ribosomal RNA (357 nucleotides) under uncultured bacterium. RNAcentral's name for it is "bacterial SSU rRNA". It matches the Rfam family "Bacterial small subunit ribosomal RNA", at positions 8 to 334 of the family's 1533-position model. The record is from RNAcentral.